GAUGAACGCUGGCGGCGUGCUUAACACAUGCAAGUCGAACGGAAAGGCCCAAGCUUGCUUGGGUACUCGAGUGGCGAACGGGUGAGUAACACGUGGGUGAUCUGCCCUGCACUUCGGGAUAAGCCUGGGAAACUGGGUCUAAUACCGGAUAGGACGAUGGUUUGGAUGCCAUUGUGGAAAGUUUUUUCGGUGUGGGAUGAGCUCGCGGCGUAUCAGCUUGUUGGUGGGGUGAUGGCGUACCAAGGCGUCGACGGGUAGCCGGCCUGAGAGGGUGGACGGCCACAUUGGGACGGAGAUACGGGCCAGACUCCGGAGGGAGGCAGCAGUGGGGAAUAUUGCACAAUGGGCGCAAGCCUGAUGCAGCGAGGCCGCGGGGGGGAUGACGGCCUUCGGGUUGGAAACUCCUAUCACUAGGGACGAAGCGUUGUUGUGACGGUACCUGGAGAAGAAGCACCGGCUAACUACGUG
RNAcentral lists this ribosomal RNA (468 nucleotides) under uncultured bacterium. Its description in RNAcentral is "partial 16S ribosomal RNA". It matches the Rfam family "Bacterial small subunit ribosomal RNA", at positions 28 to 507 of the family's 1533-position model. The record is from RNAcentral.